GGGCGCAUAGCUCAGUUGGUAGAGCAUCUGCCUUACAAGCAGAGGGUCAUAGGUUCGAAUCCUGUUGCGCCCACCA
RNAcentral lists this transfer RNA (76 nucleotides) under Nitrosomonas sp. RNAcentral describes it as "tRNA-Val". It matches the Rfam family "tRNA". From Rfam's summary of the family: Transfer RNA (tRNA) molecules are approximately 80 nucleotides in length. Their secondary structure includes four short double-helical elements and three loops (D, anti-codon, and T loops). The record is from RNAcentral. Lineage: Bacteria; Pseudomonadati; Pseudomonadota; Betaproteobacteria; Nitrosomonadales; Nitrosomonadaceae. RNAcentral also lists the same sequence under 3 other names.